Choloepus didactylus (southern two-toed sloth) is the source of this 566-nucleotide long non-coding RNA. RefSeq lists it as uncharacterized. NCBI's taxonomy places the organism in Eukaryota, Metazoa, Chordata, Mammalia, Pilosa, Megalonychidae. The record is from RefSeq and is a predicted model, not a curated record. The transcript has 3 exons.
UAGUCCUGGCGGCAGUGGGAGGAGAAGAAGCCAAGCGGGACCCAGCUGCGGCCAUGGUCCUGGGACUUGAGCAGAGCCACGGAGGCGGGGGGCACCGAGCAGAAGCGCAGGCUCACGAAGACCAGCUCGAAAGCCUUGCCCAGGGCCACCGUGAGGGUCACGUUGAGGGGCGCCCGUGAAAGCAAGUCCGAGCGCCAGCAGAGUGGGCCCGUGGUGACUCCCGCCGAGGGUUGCAGGUUCUGUGUCUUCCGAGGAGCCUGGGCACACCACACACCUGGGGAGGGGGGACUUCAAACUGUGCCAGGGCGAAUGCACCCAGUGACACCAGGUGACCUCCCCAGCAGGCUCGCCCCCUGCCUUCUGAGCACCAGGGUGUGCACGACCUCGCCAGCAAGACAAAACACAAAGAUGCAAUGCAGGUAGUCAGGGCUGCAGAACGGGCAAUUCUGAAAAAGCACGGCUCAAGAUGGCAUGGGAAGGAGACUGCUUUCUGGAAUCUUCCUUUUGACUGGGACUCCUUUUAUCCUGCGUGUGCACCCCUCCUCCCCAUCAAGAAACAACCAGUU